Molecule: small RNA, 1954 nt
Filed under: Pan troglodytes (chimpanzee)
Lineage: Eukaryota; Metazoa; Chordata; Mammalia; Primates; Hominidae
Description: retained intron
Rfam family: Potassium channel RNA editing signal (bases 1466-1579)
Source: RNAcentral
GGGGGAUAGGCAGGGGCAGGGCCAAGCCGCAGAGGGGGCCGCCACCGCCUCCUGCCUCCUCUUCGUCUCCUCCCCCUCCCCCGUCUGACGGUGCCUCCUCGGGAAGGGUGUUUGGAGGGCAGCGGCCGCCCCAAGCCGGAGCCCCGCAGCGCUUCUUAUGAUCAGCUCGGUGUGUGUCUCCUCCUACCGCGGGCGCAAGUCGGGGAACAAGCCUCCGUCCAAAACAUGUCUGAAGGAGGAGAUGGCCAAGGGCGAGGCGUCGGAGAAGAUCAUCAUCAACGUGGGCGGCACGCGACAUGAGACCUACCGCAGCACCCUGCGCACCCUACCGGGAACCCGCCUCGCCUGGCUGGCCGACCCCGACGGCGGGGGCCGGCCCGAGACCGAUGGCGGCGGUGUGGGCAGCAGCGGCAGCAGCGGCGGCGGGGGCUGCGAGUUCUUCUUCGACAGGCACCCGGGCGUCUUCGCCUACGUGCUCAACUACUACCGCACCGGCAAGCUGCACUGCCCCGCCGACGUGUGCGGGCCGCUCUUCGAAGAGGAGCUCACCUUCUGGGGCAUCGACGAGACCGACGUGGAACCCUGCUGCUGGAUGACCUACCGGCAGCACCGCGACGCCGAGGAGGCGCUCGACAUCUUCGAGAGCCCGGACGGAGGUGGCAGCGGCGCGGGGCCCAGCGACGAGGCCGGCGACGAUGAGCGGGAGCUGGCCCUGCAGCGACUGGGCCCCCACGAGGGAGGCGCGGGCCAUGGCGCCGGGUCUGGGGGCUGCCGCGGCUGGCAGCCCCGCAUGUGGGCGCUCUUCGAGGAUCCCUACUCCUCCCGGGCCGCUAGGGUAGUGGCCUUUGCCUCUCUCUUCUUCAUCCUGGUCUCCAUCACCACUUUCUGCCUGGAGACCCAUGAGGCCUUUAAUAUCGACCGCAACGUGACAGAGAUCCUCCGCGUAGGGAACAUCACCAGCGUGCACUUCCGGCGGGAGGUAGAGACAGAGCCCAUCCUGACCUACAUCGAGGGCGUAUGUGUGCUGUGGUUCACACUGGAGUUCCUGGUGCGCAUCGUGUGCUGCCCCGACACGCUGGACUUCGUCAAGAACCUGCUCAACAUCAUCGACUUUGUGGCCAUCCUGCCCUUCUACCUGGAGGUGGGGCUGAGCGGCCUGUCAUCCAAGGCGGCCCGUGACGUGCUGGGCUUCCUGCGCGUGGUGCGCUUCGUGCGCAUCCUGCGUAUCUUCAAGCUCACACGCCACUUCGUGGGGCUACGCGUGCUGGGCCACACCCUGAGGGCCAGCACCAAUGAGUUCCUGCUGCUUAUCAUCUUCCUGGCCCUGGGUGUGCUCAUCUUUGCCACCAUGAUCUACUACGCUGAGCGCAUUGGGGCCAGGCCCUCCGACCCUCGGGGUAAUGACCACACCGACUUCAAGAACAUCCCAAUUGGCUUCUGGUGGGCUGUGGUCACCAUGACGACACUGGGCUACGGAGACAUGUACCCCAAGACGUGGUCAGGCAUGCUGGUAGGGGCACUGUGUGCGCUGGCUGGCGUGCUCACCAUCGCCAUGCCGGUGCCUGUCAUCGUCAACAACUUCGGCAUGUACUACUCCCUGGCCAUGGCCAAGCAGAAGCUGCCCAAGAAACGGAAGAAGCACGUGCCACGGCCGGCCCAGCUGGAGUCACCCAUGUACUGCAAGUCUGAGGAGACUUCCCCCGGGGACAGCACCUACAGUGAUACCAGCCCCCCUGCCCGGGAAGAGGGUAUGAUCGAGAGGAAACGGGCAGGUGAGAUUAGGGGUUGGGAAGGAAAAUCCCUUUUCCCCCAGUGGCCUAGGGAGUUUCCAAAUGGACCUCAGCCCUUGGGAUUUGGCAUGUGUUUUGUGUGGGGCUUCCCUAAGCAUAAGAUGUGCCUUUAUGAGGGCAAAGUGUUGAGGCCGAAUUUCUCUAUCCUCUGGCUGGGUCUUCGA